This is a long non-coding RNA of Megalobrama amblycephala (Wuchang bream), 1210 nucleotides long. RefSeq lists it as uncharacterized. The transcript is spliced from 4 exons. The record is from RefSeq and is a predicted model, not a curated record. NCBI's taxonomy places the organism in Eukaryota, Metazoa, Chordata, Actinopteri, Cypriniformes, Xenocyprididae.
CUGACAGUUCAGACAGCAAACCAUAUUUAUUUAUAUACAUGUGCUUUGUAUUUUUAUAUUGCUAUCAUGUUAAUGUGACCUAAAAAUAACAAAUUGAACGCUUUGCCUCACGCGCAAGUUGGCACGUGCACGGGGAGAGAGAGGGGGAGAGAGAGAGAGAGAGAGAGCGUGUCUCAAUCAGCUCCCUAGUUCAGUAGUUAGGGCACUGAUCAGGGAGUCGGCCUCAUUCACUUUAAUGAAAUACUGAUUCAUGAGCUAGGGAGCUGAUGAGCUGAUUGAGACGCAGGGAGAGAUAAGUCAUUGGCCUGUGUAUUUCAAAUGAAAUCAACCAUCUGUAAUUAAUUAAUUAUGAAAAGAUAUAAUUUCAUGGCCUAAAAUUUUUAAUUCAGUUAUAUUCACAUUAAAUAUUGAUGUAUAAUUUCUCUUGAAUGUAUAGGCCUAUUUCAUCAGCACGUUCAUCCAUACAGAGCAAUAUUUAACUGAAAUAUUAAUUCUUGUUUCUUUUUCUCCUUUUCAUUGUGUGUAAAGAGAUCAUUGGUUCUGCUCUUAUUCUUUGCCAUCUAGUCCUGAUUCCUGACUACAGGUCUUCAGGAUGACCAGGAACUACAGGACGGUUUGAGCUACACUCUGCAGGACGUUGGUCCUCCAUGACCAGGACUGGACACCACUGUCCUAAAUAAACCCAAGGAGAGGCGCUCAGGCACAGGUCACUUCAUCUUUUGCUGUAUAAAAAAGCGCACAAAAAGCGGCCCGGCCACAGCUUCCGAAGUGGAAACUCCUGUUAAAUCAUGGCUCCAUAAUGCAAGAGACUGGGAUGGUGGAAGGAGCAGAAGAACCAGAAGACUGGAGAUCAGGCAAAGAUCUACUGGUACCCGAGGGGGAUUGAUCACUCAUCUCCAUCCACAAAUGAAUGAUUUCUGAAUGAUCAUGUGACACUGACAACUAGAUGCAGGCUGCUGAAUAUUAAGUUUUAACAUCACAGGAAAAUUUUUCUUUGUAAAAUAUAUUAAAACAGUUCAGGGCUCGACAUUAAGCCUUUUCCUGUGACGAGUAAAUCAGUCAUUCACAAACUUUGUUGUAAAUACAAUUUAUUCUGCAGCAUCAGUGUUAAGGCCGGCUGUGACAUGUAUAAAUCUGCAUAUUUAUGAUAUUUUUACCUUUAUAAAGGGCAUUUUCCUCAUUAUUAAAUAAAUGCUUCAUCUUUCAUUUU